GCGCAUUUCUAUUGCUGAAAUAUGCUAGAUGGCAUAAAAUCCUACAAGUGACAUUUUCAAUGGAAUACUCUAAAUACAAAGCAAUAGGUCUCCUGGUCCUCUGCCUUCACGCCUGGAGCUUCUCGUUGACGUCUCUCCCUGGUCACACCGUUUACCUGAACUGCUCAGGUGCCAACAGCAGUGUCGGCCCAGCGAUGCUCUGGUACAGGCAGCUCCCCAGGCGGCCACCUCAACCCAUACUGCAGACCUUCAGCCCUGACCGUGCACUCCACUUCCCAUACUUUAAUUUCGGAGGACAUUUUCUCUCAAUGAAGAAUCACACUCUAGUCAUCCAGAACGUCACCCAAGAAGACGCUGCGACUUAUUACUGCUCACAGCUAGAGAGGGAGGUGUGCCGCUUCAGUGACGGGAUCGAGCUGCAAGUUAACGGUGAGAAUGGAACGAGGUGAUCAGGGUAUAGGAACGAAACGUGGGUUGGUCAGCUAUAGAAACAUGCCAGCUUUGUGUUCAAAAGGCCGCUCGAAACAUUGGGUUUGUAAAAAUGACUUUUCGGUGGCUGUUAAUAUAAUAUUUG
This is a non-coding RNA of Erpetoichthys calabaricus (reedfish), 574 nucleotides long. The record is from the annotation of a RefSeq genome assembly. NCBI's taxonomy places the organism in Eukaryota, Metazoa, Chordata, Cladistia, Polypteriformes, Polypteridae.